RNAcentral lists this long non-coding RNA (199 nucleotides) under Capsicum annuum. RNAcentral's name for it is "long non-coding RNA (CANN_LNC020280)". The record is from RNAcentral. Lineage: Eukaryota; Viridiplantae; Streptophyta; Magnoliopsida; Solanales; Solanaceae.
GCGGGACAUGGAACAGUUACAGCUCACCGAGGACAUGACCCUAGAUAGGAAGGUCUGGAAGAUGCGAAUUACGGCAGAGGAUUAGGGCCAGUUCGGGGCGCUAGUGUAGGGAAUUAAUUGGUGGGGGUGUAUUCCUGUUAUGAUUCUGUAUUCAGUGUUUCGUGUUCCGUGUUCCAUGUUUAUUACGAAUCUGUGUGCU